GGCGUAAAGAGCUCGUAGGUGGUUUGUCGCGUUGUUCGUGAAAUCUCACGGCUUAACUGUGAGCGUGCGGGCGAUACGGGCAGACUUGAGUACUGCAGGGGAGACUGGAAUUCCUGGUGUAGCGGUGGAAUGCGCAGAUAUCAGGAGGAACACCGGUGGCGAAGGCGGGUCUCUGGGCAGUAACUGACGCUGAGGAGCGAAAGCGUGGGGAGCGAACAGGAUUAGAUACCCUGGUAGUCCACGCCGUAAACGGUGGGUACUAGGUGUGGGUUUCCUUCCUUGGGAUCCGUGCCGUAGCUAACGCAUUAAGUACCCCGCCUGGGGAGUACGGCCGCAAGGCUAAAACUCUAAGAAAUUGACGGGGGCCCGCACAAGCGGCGGAGCAUGUGGAUUAAUUCGAUGCAACGCGAAGAACCUUACCUGGGUUUGACAUGCACAGGACGCCGGCAGAGAUGUCGGUUCCCUUGUGGCCUGUGUGCAGGUGGUGCAUGGCUGUCGUCAGCUCGUGUCGUGAGAUGUUGGGUUAAGUCCCGCAACGAGCGCAACCCUUGUCUCAUGUUGCCAGCGGGUAAUGCCGGGGACUCGUGAGAGACUGCCGGGGUCAACUCGGAGGAAGGUGGGGAUGACGUCAAGUCAUCAUGCCCCUUAUGUCCAGGGCUUCACACAUGCUACAAUGGCCGGUACAGAGGGCUGCGAUGCCGCGAGGUUAAGCGAAUCCUUUUAAAGCCGGUCUCAGUUCGGAUCGGGGUCUGCAACUCGACCCCGUGAAGUCGGAGUCGCUAGUAAUCGCA
RNAcentral lists this ribosomal RNA (791 nucleotides) under uncultured Mycobacterium sp. RNAcentral's name for it is "bacterial SSU rRNA". It matches the Rfam family "Bacterial small subunit ribosomal RNA", at positions 557 to 1346 of the family's 1533-position model. Lineage: Bacteria; Bacillati; Actinomycetota; Actinomycetes; Mycobacteriales; Mycobacteriaceae. The record is from RNAcentral.